Molecule: long non-coding RNA, 6048 nt
Organism: Canis lupus familiaris (dog)
Lineage: Eukaryota; Metazoa; Chordata; Mammalia; Carnivora; Canidae
Exons: 3
Source: RefSeq, a predicted model, not a curated record
CAAGGCUCUGCUCCUCCCAUGCGAGUUCAAGAAUUUGACCAGGAUCCUGGCUGGCUUCAUGGGAAGAAAUAAGCUGAGGAGACAGGCCUGAACCUAGAGCGGAGAGGGGAUGGCAGGAGCAGGAGCCCCUCAGCCUGUCUUGCGGGCUGACCACACGUCACUGGUGCCAUUGUGUAAGAGGUGGCCCGUGAGCUGGCUCAGAGCAGAUCUGGAGAAAUAAGGAAAGAGAAGAAAGGAGCUGAGGGCAGUGGGUGCCUAGGGCCAGGGGAGACUGGUGAAGAGGAGCCAAAGAGCCACUCAGGUACUGGCUAGACACCCACAUGAGGCCAGGCUUCCUGCUUGUUACUGAAGACACAAAGAUAACAGAUGUAGCCCUCAAGGAGCUCCUGGUGUGAGAAGAUGGACACACAGCAACAAUCCUAUGGGAGACAGGUGUGCUGCACAGAGGCAUGCAGUUUUCUGGGGAGCAGAACACCAAGUGUGGUCAGCUUUCCCUGGGGAGUCAGGGGGCUUCUAGGAGAGGCAUUGUGGGAGCUGAAUGCAUCCCCAGGAAAAGGACAAGCAAGCAUAGGCUAAGGGACUCUGGCUAGUUGGGAACAGCUGUACUUCUGUUGACUGGAUUGUAGGGCCUGAGGAGCACUGGGAAUGAGCCCACAGAGGGCCCAGCCAAGCCCCUCAGAGGUUCUUGUGGUCAAUCGGCUCUUCUGAGGGUCUUUAAGGAGGAAAGGGACACAAUCAGCUUUAUCUCAGGCUAGAAAUCCUUUUCAUGGGUCUAUGUGGACUAAUGGAGAUGGAGAGAUCCUACCAGUUGGGUUCCCCCAGAGAACCAGCCCACUUGGGAGGCAUGAAUGGAUCAGUCUUCGCACUCUGCCUCAGUUUCCCCAUCAGCAACACCCCUGGCCCAGGCCAGCCCUUCAAAUUCAGGCCACAAGAACAGUUAAUCUCCCUGUAUCCAGGCCUGAGUAUAACAGGAGGCUGUGGUGCUUCUUCAAGGAGUGUGUUUCGGUUGGGACAUGAACCUUUCUCCUUAUUACAGUGAUAGCCAACGAUGGACGACGCGUGGUGGGAGAUGCCUAGAACCACUACCCCAAAACAGUGUCAGUUUUCGAUUCUGGGAAGUGGGGAUAAAAAUGAAGGAGUCCGAGAGAUGUGGAGGGAUGGGGGUGGGGGGAGAUCCUUACCUCUUCAGGGAUGACCCCCCUUCCCCAGUCUGACUACAACCAGCCCCUCCUCCCUCCCACAAAGAAAGCCAUUGAUCCUGAAAAGCAAGUUUAUCUCAGAGAGCAGAAUAAUAGAAGCAAACUCAGCUUUUUUUGGGGGGGGGGGAAAGAAAAAGAUUCUAGUUGCACCCACCAGGAAAUGGAGACUUGUGUAAACGUCAUUACCCAUGGCAAAGGGUGAGUUGAUCAUUCUCACUCUCUCUCACUGCCCCCCACCCCACCCUGCCCCGGAAUAUUUAUUUUAUCCCAUAGACAAACACUGCAAACAUGUAUUUCACAUACGGGAAAAGGGUAAAUGGAGUCACUUACAAAACUGUUGGUCCGAGCCCCUAAAGUAUAGCUCACGCUUGUUAGUGAGAUGAAAGUCUUUGACUUUUUGAGGCCACAGAACCAUUAAAUAUUAACCGCAUAACCAAGUUGCCCAUUAAAUUAAUUUAUGGAGUUAAAGAAAUGCCUUUGGAACCCCUCUUGAUAGACACCCAGCCCUCAAGUGCCACAUAAAACAAUCACCCGGCUGGUGCUCGGUAAAUUUUCCGUGACGCUCCUCCAAUCUGCUCCAUAUAUGUUUAAAAUUAACACUGAGAUUUGGGCUGUGAAACCUCCUUUGGGCAGAGGGACUGGCUGGCCAGCGAGGGCAGGGAGCCCGAAGUCUGGGGAGGUCUACUGCAUGGUCAGACUUUCCACGUCUGAGUCCUGGCAGAGCUGCUGGCUGCUGUGUGCAGAGCCAGCUUCACAAUUUUGGGUACAUCUGAAUCCCUAGCAAAUCCCAGGCUGGGAGUCCACAUUGUCUAGCAGUCCAAGCAAGAUGUUGGCCAGCCAAGCAGAGCUGCAUAUGCAGGGUACUGGAAAUAAAAAUCCCAGAGGUUCUCAGCAGUGUGUUCAAAGACAGACACGGACCAGGGAAGGGCUGGCUAUGGAGCAGACUGUACCUGGCACUGACUAUGGAAUUCACUGAGGGGCCCUGGGAUGUUGAGUGAAGCUUUGAUCCUGAGUGGCCACAGAUUGGACAACUGGGAGGCAGAGCUGUGAAGUGCAAUUCGGGGUGGUGGGGGGGCCCAAGGGUUGUUUCUGGCUUAUCCCUAAUGACUGUUCCAAGGUCAUUCCAAGGUCUCAGACAAUCAGACAACAGAUCCUAGUGUUCUAGCUCAGCAGAACUAAAGGUCACUUAUGCACUGACCUGCCCCCCCUGCCAUUCUCAGAGUAAAUUACAGCCUGUGAGAUGGCUGGCUACUCGCUGAACCCCUGACAUAGCUCCUUGUUGCCUGGCUCUGAGCAGCUCUUGUCUUUGCUAAUCAGGUUAGGAGACCCUGCCUCUUGCAGACCCCGCUCACUCGAAUGGCACCCCUGGCCACCAGCAGCACCAUCAGGGCCCCAGAGCCCCCCUGAAUCUCAUCCUGAUUCAGGGGUCCUGUUCAAAGCCUGAUCCCAGGAGAUAAGAUGUUAUCAGUUUCCUCCUCCUCCGGAUGCACACACCAACUGCAGAUGCCUUGGGCUCCACCAGCUCCAGGAGGCAGGAGGCGGGAGGCGAGCUUGUGAGCCAUAAAUCCCCAGCUGGGCGAGGCCUCCCCUGCCCUAUGCCCCCUCCUCCAUUGGCUGUGCCCAUUUAUUUAACUUCUUGGGAAAGGAAUGAAGAGAAACAAAAGCUCAGGCGGCAGCCAUCAAUUGGCCUCCAAAUGGCAAAUGCCCUUUAAAGAGAAAGAUGAAUAUUGAUCUAAAGAAGAGGAGCUUCUCCUGUAGGGGAAUUAAUCAUCAGGAAUUCUUUUUAGGUUAAGGCAGAAAAUGUGACCAAGUAUAACCAGCAAGUCACAAAAUUGCAACUUGGGUUAAUGGAGACUAAUUGGGAGCGCUGGAGUGCUCGCCUGGCUUCCUAUGGGCUUGGGAACACCAGUUAGUACAUUUAGCAACUUGAUUCUUAUUUAAACAUUGUUAUUGCUAAACUCAGUGUUUCUGAAUCAUAAAGUAUUAGUGCAUAAAGGAACCCUGUACCAACAACGCUAUGGAAGGACAGAGUAUUUCAGAAGUGACAAACACUAUGACACACACUCUCGGGCUCAGCCCCCUUCAUGAGCCCUGCAAGGGAGUGGUCUUUACCCUGUUUUACAGAUUAAGGAUGCUGGGGCUCAGGGAGGUAGAGAGCUUGCCCAGAGGUACAGAGCUAGUGAGGAGCAAUGGGAUUUGAUCCCAGCUCUUUCCACUCAAAUACCAACACUUGCAACCAAAGACAAUCCAGCACUUGCCUAUCCUCAAGAGUCUUGAGUCAGACUCCACGAUGGGUUUUAUUUAACUAAGAAAUCCCAUCUCCAUGAAAGCCAGUGGUAACAUUAAACUAUUUAUGCCUAGCAGUAAUAAUAAUCAAAAGCUGGCAUCCACUGAAUGCCUCCUCUGGCCCAGAUGCUGUGCUGGUGCCUGGCCUCUGUAAGUUCCUUCUAUCUCCACGACUACCCUCUGUGGAGCUACUAUUUUUCCAUUAUACAGAUGUGGAAACUGAGGCUCUGGGAAGUGAGGGUUUUGAACCGAGGCAGCCCAGCCAUCCAGAGGCCAUGUGCCACAGCCACUGACGUGGGAGCCUGUCAUUUUCACUGCAGGGUCCUGGGCUCUAGUCAAAGUGGAAAGACAAAUGGGCUCUGCUUCAUGACAUCGCUGUCAGUAUCCCAUCUCUUCUUGGGUAUUGGCUGUUUUCAUGCACCUGUGCACACGCACCCGUGUGCAUGCGUGUAAGUGUGAGCACUUGCAUGGAUAAAGAUAUGUAACCAUCAGGACUUCUGUGGAUAAACAAAUAUACAUUUCAGAGGUUUCAGAUGCUACUGAACUCAGAAUUGAUUCCAACAAUGUCCCAAAAGGAAUUUAAACAAACAGCUCUCCUGUGUCCAGCAAAAUGUCACCUACAGAAUAUCCCGUCUACAGGAGAUCUUAACCCAGCUCCCAAGCUGCUGAAAGGGAUUUCAAAUAGCGUUUUGUAAACACUAACAUGUCCCAAAAGAGGGAAAGCCUCAGCUGUGAUCCCAAGACCCUUGUGCCCCAGAGGGGGGCGCAGUCACGAGUGACCCCUCCCUGAGGGCCACUCCUACCCAUCGCUCUGAAUAGGAAAUGCCAGGCGUCAGGAUGCACCUCGUAGACUGCAGCAGACGGUUUUUCAGACGGCCCUCCUUCACAGACAGACAGACUCUGGCAGAUGGACAGCCCCUCCCCCUCCUCCAGACACACCCUUACCCGGCAGUACUCGUCGAUGGGCUUCAGCCUCUUCACAGCUACAUCCCGGAUGUGGCUUCUCCGGAAGAGGAUCUUGCCUGGAAGAGAGAUGCUUGUGAGCUGAGUGAUUCUGCAGAAAGCUGCCAUGGGACCUGGGCCUCCUACCCUCUCAUUCCCCUCUCCCUCAGCUUCUCAGCGAUUUAGUUGGCCACCAAGUGCCACCAUCUCUGCCCAUUGAAGAAAACAAGAAAGGAGCAGUCACCUCUGCCAGGGGGCAGGAGGCGCCCAAGGCUGAAGGUCCAGGAUCUCUGGGGCACAGGAGAGGCCCCAGAGGCUGCCAUCUUGGCCAGAUCACCUUGUCUGGGUCUAAUGGCAGGAUCGAUGCCCUGACGUGGGCGCGGCUCCCAAGUGACCUCACAAAUAAUACAAAGGAUGGCCCAACCCACACGCUGCGUUUUGUUUUCAGGCCCUUCCCUCCUUGAGAAAUCGGCAUUCGCUCCUGCCAGCCAGGCAGGAAUUCCUAUUCUUAGUUUUAGGUGGGUGGCGAUUUCCAGGGCGGGCACAGGCCAACGCCAAGGGAGCAUGGCUGCCCCAGCCUGACUUUUCUCUAGCCUCUCUGCGCACACAGCCUCCAGCAAUGCAGGCCGCCAUGCAGAUGGGCUGGUGCACCCCUCUGCAGGUGUGGGUGAGGCUUAAAGGAAUUGCCAGCCCCUCAAACCUUCCCAGCGGGCUCUUUUCAGCUAGCUGAGUUCGAUUUUAACAACUAGAUCAAUGCAUAGUCCUUUUCAGCCCAUUCAGUUUAGACUCUGAACUCCUUGGUCUGACUUUCAAGUCCUAACACAGCUGACAUUUCUGUGCCUCAUGGUCAUCGGUGUCUAAGUCAAUGUCCCUUUUUUGGAAGGCCUUCCUUGAUUGGCCAUACUGGGAGUAAUCUCCGUCUUUCUAGAACAUCCACACACUUUGUCCAUUCCUAAGGCAUGUGCCCCAUUCUGCUGUGUGUUACAAAUAUUUGACAGCCUCCUUCCAUCAGGGGGCUGACACAUCUUAGAACCCACAUAGCUUGACAAGUGAAGUGCUCACCCUAUAGCUGUAAUAGGCAUCUGCUGUCCAAGUCUGCCUGAUUUCCCUCUGGAGAGUCUUCUUCCUCCAUUCCCAAUCGUUGUGGUUCAAAGGGGCUAACCAUACUCCCUGGCAAGAAGAGUAGGCACGUGACCCAGCCCAGCCAACCAGAGUCACUGCAAUUGGCUCAGAGAUGGGCACGUGAUCUGGGCCAAUGAGGGUCAGCCCUGAGACUUCUACUGGAGCCUUCUCUCUCUCAGAGUUGCUAAGCUGGCAGGAUGAAAGCCUGAAACUUCUUAAGUGGCCAUCUUUAUCAUUGCCUGAGAAGGAAACCUACUGAAAGGAUCAGUGCCUGGAACAUAGUAGGUACUCCAUAAAUGCUUCCUGAAUGGUUGAAAAGCAGAGCAAAGAGAUGAUGAAGGGCAGAUUAUUUUGACAUCAUUUGAGCAGCUGGAUAUAGCUGUUCUGAACCCAGGGUCUACCUGAUACUUUUCACAUGUAUAAAUAAUCAAUUAUUUUAUUUAAACUAGUUGGAAAUGGAUUUUUAUCACUUGCAUUAAAGGAGAUCUAAUGAAGAUAA